RNAcentral lists this ribosomal RNA (497 nucleotides) under uncultured bacterium. RNAcentral's name for it is "partial 16S ribosomal RNA". It matches the Rfam family "Bacterial small subunit ribosomal RNA", at positions 28 to 507 of the family's 1533-position model. The record is from RNAcentral.
GAUGAACGCUGGCGGCGUGCCUAAUACAUGCAAGUCGAGCGAACGGACGAGAAGCUUGCUUCUCUGAUGUUAGCGGCGGACGGGUGAGUAACACGUGGAUAACCUACCUAUAAGACUGGGAUAACUUCGUGAAACCGGAUCUAAUACCGGAUAAUAUUUUGAACCGCAUGGUUCAAAAGUGAAUGACGGUCUUUCUGUCUCUUAUAGAUUGAUCCGCGCUGCAUUAGCUAGUUGGUAAGGUAACGGCUUACCAAGGCAACGAUGCAUAGCCGACCUGAGAGGGUGAUCGGACACACUGGAACUGAGACACGGACAAGAGUACUACGGGAGGCAGCAGUAGGGAAUAUUCCGCAAUGGGCGAAAGCAUGACGGAGCAAAGCCGAGUGAGUGAUGAAGGUCUUCGGAUCGUAAAACUCUGUUAUUAGGGAAGAAAAUAUGUGUAAGUAACUGUGCACAUCUUGACGGUACCUAAUCAGAAAGCCACGGCUAACUACGUG